GAUAGCUCAGCUGGUAGAGCAGAGGACUGAAAAUC
RNAcentral lists this transfer RNA (35 nucleotides) under Monsonia ignorata. RNAcentral's name for it is "partial tRNA-Phe". The record is from RNAcentral. RNAcentral also lists the same sequence under 2 other names. Lineage: Eukaryota; Viridiplantae; Streptophyta; Magnoliopsida; Geraniales; Geraniaceae.